GAACAGUGGUGUGUAUGUUUGCGCAUUAUACCGCGAAACUGCGAAUGGCUCAUUAUAUAAGUUAUCGUUUAUUUGAUAAUACUUUACUACUUGGAUAACCGUGGUAAUUCUAGAGCUAAUACAUGCUGAAAAUCCCGACUUCGGAAGGGAUGUAUUUAUUAGAUUAAAAACCAAUGCCCCUCGGGGCUCUCUGGUGAAUCAUGAUAACUAGUCGAAUCGACAGGCCUUGUGCCGGCGAUGGCUCAUUCAAAUUUCUUCCCUAUCAACUUUCGAUGUUUGGGUAUUGGCCAAACAUGGUGGCAACGGGUAACGGAGGGUUAGGGCUCGACCCCGGAGAAGGAGCCUGAGAAACGGCUACUACAUCCAAGGAAGGCAGCAGGCGCGCAAAUUACCCAAUCCCGACACGGGGAGGUAGUGACAAUAAAUACUGAUACAGGGCUCUUUUGGGUCUUGUAAUCGGAAUGAGUACAAUUUAAAUCCCUUAACGAGGAACAAUUGGAGGGCAAGUCUGGUGCCAGCAGCCGCGGUAAUUCCAGCUCCAAUAGCGUAUAUUAAAGUUGUUGUGGUUAAAAAGCUCGUAGUUGAACCUUGGGCCUGGCUGGCCGGUCCGCCUCACCGCGUGCACUGGUCCGGCCGGGCCUUUCCCUCUGCGGAACCCCAUGCCCUUCACUGGGUGUGGCGGGGAAACAGGACUUUUACUUUGAAAAAAUUAGAGUGCUCAAGGCAGGCCUAUGCUCGAAUACAUUAGCAUGGAAUAAUAGAAUAGGACGUGUGGUUCUAUUUUGUUGGUUUCUAGGACCGCCGUAAUGAUUAAUAGGGACAGUCGGGGGCAUCAGUAUUCAAUUGUCAGAGGUGAAAUUCUUGGAUUUAUUGAAGACUAACUACUGCGAAAGCAUUUGCCAAGGAUGUUUUCAUUAAUCAGGAACGAAAGUUAGGGGAUCGAAGACGAUCAGAUACCGUCGUAGUCUUAACCAUAAACUAUGCCGACUAGGGAUCGGACGAUGUUACAUUUUUGACGCGUUCGGCACCUUACGAGAAAUCAAAGUGCUUGGGCUCCAGGGGGAGUAUGGUCGCAAGGCUGAAACUUAAAGAAAUUGACGGAAGGGCACCACCAGGGGUGGAGCCUGCGGCUUAAUUUGACUCAACACGGGGAAACUCACCAGGUCCAGACACAAUGAGGAUUGACAGAUUGAGAGCUCUUUCUUGAUUUUGUGGGUGGUGGUGCAUGGCCGUUCUUAGUUGGUGGAGUGAUUUGUCUGCUUAAUUGCGAUAACGAACGAGACCUUAACCUGCUAAAUAGCCCGUAUUGCUUUGGCAGUACGCUGGCUUCUUAGAGGGACUAUCUACGCCAUCCCCACAACC
Molecule: ribosomal RNA, 1362 nt
Filed under: Sphaerodes retispora var. retispora
Lineage: Eukaryota; Fungi; Ascomycota; Sordariomycetes; Coronophorales; Ceratostomataceae
Description: SSU rRNA
Rfam family: Eukaryotic small subunit ribosomal RNA
Source: RNAcentral